This 589-nucleotide ribosomal RNA is filed under the name Sphingomonas sp. Its description in RNAcentral is "bacterial SSU rRNA". It matches the Rfam family "Bacterial small subunit ribosomal RNA", at positions 125 to 748 of the family's 1533-position model. Lineage: Bacteria; Pseudomonadati; Pseudomonadota; Alphaproteobacteria; Sphingomonadales; Sphingomonadaceae. The record is from RNAcentral.
UCUGCCUUGGGGUACGGAACAACAGUUAGAAAUGACUGCUAAUACCGUAUGAUGUCUUCGGACCAAAGAUUUAUCGCCCUGAGAUGAGCCCGCGUUGGAUUAGGUAGUUGGUGGGGUAAAGGCCUACCAAGCCGACGAUCCAUAGCUGGUCUGAGAGGAUGAUCAGCCACACUGGGACUGAGACACGGCCCAGACUCCUACGGGAGGCAGCAGUGGGGAAUAUUGGACAAUGGGCGAAAGCCUGAUCCAGCAAUGCCGCGUGAGUGAUGAAGGCCUUAGGGUUGUAAAGCUCUUUUACCCGGGAAGAUAAUGACUGUACCGGGAGAAUAAGCCCCGGCUAACUCCGUGCCAGCAGCCGCGGUAAUACGGAGGGGGCUAGCGUUGUUCGGAAUUACUGGGCGUAAAGCGCACGUAGGCGGCUUUGCAAGUCAGAGGUGAAAGCCCGGGGCUCAACCCCGGAAUUGCCUUUGAGACUGCAGAGCUAGCAGGUGAGAGAGGUGAGUGGAAUUCCGAGUGUAGAGGUGAAAUUCGUAGAUAUUCGGAAGAACACCAGUGGCGAAGGCGGCUCACUGGCUCAUACUGGACGCUG